Unclassified non-coding RNA from Marmota marmota marmota (Alpine marmot), 310 nucleotides. Its record names the gene 7SK. It matches the Rfam family "7SK RNA". Rfam says of the family: 7SK was discovered as an abundant small nuclear RNA in the mid-70s but a possible function has only recently been suggested. Two independent studies have found that 7SK RNA binds the CDK9/cyclin T complex (known as elongation factor P-TEFb). Lineage: Eukaryota; Metazoa; Chordata; Mammalia; Rodentia; Sciuridae. The record is from Ensembl.
GGAUCUGAGGACAAGCUGGCUAAGACAUCUGUUAGCCCACUAAUCACCAAGGUUAAUUUGGCUGAUCUGGCAGGCUAAGCAGAUGUCACCUUCCUCCCUCACCAUUCCAUAUGCAUGCCUCCUGAAGCGGUGCACUUGGUCAAAGAGGACAACCUUGCCCAAUAGAGGAGGACCACUCUUCCAUCAAAGGUAUACAAGUAGCUGUGCUCCCCUGAGAGAACUUUCAAACAAGCUCUCAAUCAGUCCAUUUCUCUUAAUAAUAACUCAACAAGCAUUAAAAGUAUUGUAUUGUUAAAUAUUAGUAAAAUUU